GAUGAACGCUGGCGGCGUGCCUAAUACAUGCAAGUCGAGCGAACGGACGAGAAGCUUGCUUCUCUGAUGUUAGCGGCGGACGGGUGAGUAACACGUGGAUAACCUACCUAUAAGACUGGGAUAACUUCGGGAAACCGGAGCUAAUACCGGAUAAUAUUUUGAACCGCAUGGUUCAAAAGUGAAAGACGGUCUUGCUGUCACUUAUAGAUGGAUCCGCGCUGCAUUAGCUAGUUGGUAAGGUAACGGCUUACCAAGGCAACGAUGCAUAGCCGACCUGAGAGGGUGAUCGGCCACACUGGAACUGAGACACGGUCCAGACUCCUACGGGAGGCAGCAGUAGGGAAUCUUCCGCAAUGGGCGAAAGCCUGACGGAGCAACGCCGCGUGAGUGAUGAAGGUCUUCGGAUCGUAAAACUCUGUUAUUAGGGAAGAACAUAUGUGUAAGUAACUGUGCACAUCUUGACGGUACCUAAUCAGAAAGCCACGGCUAACUACGUGCCAGCAGCCGCGGUAAUACGUAGGUGGCAAGCGUUAUCCGGAAUUAUUGGGCGUAAAGCGCGCGUAGGCGGUUUUUUAAGUCUGAUGUGAAAGCCCACGGCUCAACCGUGGAGGGUCAUUGGAAACUGGAAAACUUGAGUGCAGAAGAGGAAAGUGGAAUUCCAUGUGUAGCGGUGAAAUGCGCAGAGAUAUGGAGGAACACCAGUGGCCGAAGGCGACUUGUCUGGUCUGUAACUGACGCUGAUGUGCGAAAGCGUGGGGAUCAAACAGGAUUAGAUACCCUGGUAGUCCACGCCGUAAACGAUGAGUGCUAAGUGUUAGGGGGUUUCCGCCCCUUAGUGCUGCAGCUAACGCAUUAAGCACUCCGCCUGGGGAGUACGACCGCAAGGUUGAAACUCAAAGGAAUUGACGGGGACCCGCACAAGCGGUGGAGCAUGUGGUUUAAUUCGAAGCAACGCGAAGAACCUUACCAAAUCUUGACAUCCUUUGACAACUCUAGAGAUAGAGCCUUCCCCUUCGGGGGACAAAGUGACAGGUGGUGCAUGGUUGUCGUCAGCUCGUGUCGUGAGAUGUUGGGUUAAGUCCCGCAACGAGCGCAACCCUUAAGCUUAGUUGCCAUCAUUAAGUUGGGCACUCUAAGUUGACUGCCGGUGACAAACCGGAGGAAGGUGGGGAUGACGUCAAAUCAUCAUGCCCCUUAUGAUUUGGGCUACACACGUGCUACAAUGGACAAUACAAAGGGCAGCGAAACCGCGAGGUCAAGCAAAUCCCAUAAAGUUGUUCUCAGUUCGGAUUGUAGUCUGCAACUCGACUACAUGAAGCUGGAAUCGCUAGUAAUCGUAGAUCAGCAUGCUACGGUGAAUACGUUCCCGGGUCU
This 1374-nucleotide ribosomal RNA is filed under the name uncultured bacterium. RNAcentral describes it as "bacterial SSU rRNA". It matches the Rfam family "Bacterial small subunit ribosomal RNA", at positions 28 to 1381 of the family's 1533-position model. The record is from RNAcentral.